This 497-nucleotide ribosomal RNA is filed under the name uncultured bacterium. RNAcentral describes it as "partial 16S ribosomal RNA". It matches the Rfam family "Bacterial small subunit ribosomal RNA", at positions 28 to 507 of the family's 1533-position model. The record is from RNAcentral.
GACGAACGCUGGCGGCGUGCCUAAUACAUGCAAGUUGAGCGCUUAAGGUUGGUACUUGUCCCAACUGGAUGAGCAGCGAACGGGUGAGUAACGCGUGGGGAAUCUGCCUUUGAGCGGGGGACAACAUUUGGAAACGAAUGCUAAUACCGCAUAAAAACUUUAAACACAAGUUUUAAGUUUGAAAGAUGCAAUUGCAUCACUCAAAGAUGAUCCCGCGUUGUAUUAGCUAGUUGGUGAGGUAAAGGCUCACCAAGGCGAUGAUACAUAGCCGACCUGAGAGGGUGAUAGGCCACAUUGGGACUGAGACACGGCCCAAACUCCUACGGGAGGCAGCAGUAGGGAAUCUUCGGCAAUGGACGAAAGUCUGACCGAGCAACGCCGCGUGAGUGAAGAAGGUUUUCGGAUCGUAAAACUCUGUUGGUAGAGAAGAACGUUGGUGAGAGUGGAAAGCUCAUCAAGUGACGGUAACUACCCAGAAAGGGACGGCUAACUACGUG